AUUGAACGCUGGCGGCAUGCCUUACACAUGCAAGUCGAACGGCAGCACGGGUGCUUGCACCUGGUGGCGAGUGGCGAACGGGUGAGUAAUACAUCGGAACGUACCUUAUCGUGGGGGAUAACGCAGCGAAAGUUGCGCUAAUACCGCAUACGCCCUGAGGGGGAAAGCGGGGGACCGUAAGGCCUCGCGCGAUUAGAGCGGCCGAUGUCUGAUUAGCUUGUUGGUGAGGUAAAAGCUCACCAAGGCGAUGAUCAGUAGCUGGCCUGAGAGGACGAUCAGCAACCCUGGGACUGAGACACGGCCCAGACUCCUACGGAAGGCAGCAGUGGGGAAUUUUGGACAAUGGGGGCCACCCUGAUCCAGAAAUGCCGCUUGAGUGAAGAAGGCCUUCCGGUUGUACAGCUCUUUUGUCAGGGAGGAAACAGCAGCUCUAACACAGUCUGCGAAUGACGGUACCUGAAGAAUAAGCACCGGCUAACUACGUGCCAGCCGCCGCUGUAA
RNAcentral lists this ribosomal RNA (501 nucleotides) under uncultured bacterium. RNAcentral's name for it is "partial 16S ribosomal RNA". It matches the Rfam family "Bacterial small subunit ribosomal RNA", at positions 30 to 523 of the family's 1533-position model. The record is from RNAcentral.